GACGAACGCUGGCGGCGUGCUUAACACAUGCAAGUCGAACGGAAAGGCCCUGCUUUUGUGGGGUGCUCGAGUGGCGAACGGGUGAGUAACACGUGAGUAACCUGCCCUUGACUUUGGGAUAACUUCAGGAAACUGGGGCUAAUACCGGAUAGGAGCUCCUGCUGCAUGGUGGGGGUUGGAAAGUUUCGGCGGUUGGGGAUGGACUCGCGGCUUAUCAGCUUGUUGGUGGGGUAGUGGCUUACCAAGGCUUUGACGGGUAGCCGGCCUGAGAGGGUGACAGGCCACAUUGGGACUGAGAUACGGCCCAGACUCCUACGGGAGGCAGCAGUGGGGAAUAUUGCACAAUGGGCGGAAGCCUGAUGCAGCAACGCAGCGUGCGGGAUGACGGCCUUCGGGUUGUAAACCGCUUUCGCCUGUGACGAAGCGUGAGUGACGGUAAUGGGUAAAGAAGCACCGGCUAACUACGUG
RNAcentral lists this ribosomal RNA (468 nucleotides) under uncultured bacterium. RNAcentral's name for it is "partial 16S ribosomal RNA". It matches the Rfam family "Bacterial small subunit ribosomal RNA", at positions 28 to 507 of the family's 1533-position model. The record is from RNAcentral.